Molecule: ribosomal RNA, 228 nt
Filed under: uncultured bacterium
Lineage: Bacteria
Description: partial 16S ribosomal RNA
Rfam family: Bacterial small subunit ribosomal RNA
Source: RNAcentral
UACGUAGGCGGAAAAUUUAGUCAGUGGUGAAAUCCCGCAGCUUAACUGUGGAACUGUCAUUGAUACUGGUUUUCUUGAAUUUAGUUGAGGUAGGCGGAAUGUGUAAUGUAGCGGUGAAAUGCUUAGAUAUUACACAGAACACCGAUUGCGAAGGCAGCUUACUAAGCUAUGAUUGACGCUGAGGUACGAAAGCGUGGGGAGCGAACAGGAUUAGAUACCUGGUAGUCC